GUGGUAUGGGUGUCUUCCUCCAUCUUGGAUUGUAAAAAACAGAGAAUCAAAGGUCCAGAUUUUCCAUCAAGUUAGCAAAAUUUGAUGCAGGAAUGCAGAUGUUUAAUGUACAUUUUCAUUUAAAAGUACCAAUUUAUAAGAAUAUAACUUCUAAAUAUUGAUAUUUUUGCAAAUGUUAAUUAUUUUUGGUUGUUUUUAUUUUUUUUUUUAAAUUGGCAUUUUAAGGGGAGGUAACUCUAAAAAAGUGCAUUUUCUGAAGGAUUCUGUAUGGAAUUUUCCUAUUUUGUAUUUUAGCCGGAAAAAAUGUACGGUGACCCUAUCUUUUCUUUUGAUAUUCUCAAAGCAGUGUCUGAAAGCUAUCUUUUCCUGAAGUAUUUACAGUGACUUGACUGUUAGUGUUGCUAUCCACCAAUUGCAACUCAUUCAAAAUUUUGACCAAAUUGCAAUUUGUUUUAUAAAAUCAAAUUGUUCAACUGGUCAGAAUAUUGAACAAAUUGUUCAGUCAAAAUGUGAAAGUGCAAGGUGAUAAAAUAAAAUAUACUUACAAUCCUACAAGACUUUAACUCC
This 567-nucleotide long non-coding RNA is filed under the name Mytilus galloprovincialis (Mediterranean mussel). Lineage: Eukaryota; Metazoa; Mollusca; Bivalvia; Mytilida; Mytilidae. The record is from RNAcentral.